CUGUCAUUAGGUAUACCUCUACCAAAGUGGUAGAGGUUAACACAGUAAAGGAGUUUAAGCAUUCGUGGGAUAGGCAUAAGGCUAUCCUAACUAUAAGAUAAGGCUAGGGACUAGUGAAAGUGUUUAGAAAAUUGGGCAGACUAGAUGGGCCAAAUGGUUCUUAUCUGCCAUCACAUUCUAUGUUUCUACAUUCUCUUGGAAUGCAGAUGAGAGAAGAUAUGAAAUAAUGAUGGUUUAAAAAAAGAAAAAAAACAACGUUGCAUAAACACUUUCCAACUGGGUCAAUUUCCUAUAUUUUAGAUCUAUUAUGUCACCUUUAAUACACUGGCUCAUAUUUUUCUUCCUAGUUCUGCCAGGCUGACUGAAUAAUAAAAUGUGUACCAUGUGGUUUUAUACAAGGACAGCACCAUUCUGUCUGGGUGGGGAGCACAAGAUGGAAGUGUCAGCAAGGGUACAAAAAGGAAAAUGUUGGCACAACAAACUAAAGAAAAAAAGUACGAAAUUAAAACUAGUCCCCAAAAAAAAAAAAAGUAUAGACAGAUAAUCUACAAUACUUGAUAUUUAUUAAAAUGUUUGCUCUAAAAAGCAAAUAGAACAACACAUGAAAAAGGUUAAAAUUUACUGGUGACGUUCUGUGGUUUAUUCAAUGGUGUCAUUUUCAGAGAAGUAGCAAUGCCUCUCUAAGGUUUAAAUGGCUUAAAGUAUUUCUUACUGUACCAGUCAUGUAAAACGUUGUGGUAACACACUUCAUUUUCCCAUAAUGCUAGAGCCAAACCGCACUUAGCUGCUAAGUUUUAAAAAGACAAACUUCAGAGAAUAUUAGAGGUCCUGAUGGUAUUGAUUUGUACCUUUAAAUAGUAGUGCAAACUAAAUGAUAGAAAUGUGAAUUGGUGUUAUCUUUACAAUGUAUGUACAGGUUCAACACUUGAGCUCUACCCCCAUGGACCACACCAAAUCAGAUAUGCAAAAAAGAAACGUUAAUGUGUAGUGCUGUUUUACAUAUACAACUUAUCCCUAUAUUUAUAGAGUAUACAAACCUUUGGCAUCGACACUUGCAUUCUGAUUUUGAAAAUACAUUUAAGGUGAGAUUUAGUAAUCAGGAAAAUGAAGGAGAGGUGAAACUCUUAGUUGAUAAAGUGACAAAUCUUUUUCAUUGCGAAGAAGAGGCUCAGAAGAGUAAGUUUGCUGUAGAGCCAGAUUCUUAGUGAUUAUUGAAUAAUAAUCACAGUCCUGAAGUGUUGCAAUAAAUUGAAAACUGAAUGGAAUCUUUUUUUUUUUUGUGCAAAAUUAGCCAAGAUGUGAUGAAAGCUAACCGGAAUCUUCUCUAAAGUGAGGAAGUUCAUUUCAAAUUUAAGUUCAAACUAGCCAAACUGGAGUAACUUUGAAAGUAUCCUUGACUUAGAGUUUGGAUACUCCGGCCAUCAAUUUGAAAUUCACUUUGAAUUCUCAAUUUAGUCAACAGCCCUGUUCAUUGGAGUAUCCAAUUCACUGCUAAGUAAAUAAGUUAUAGUUUAUAGUUUAAUUAUAAUUUUAAAAAAAGUCAUAUUUUGAUUAAACCUUAUUCAAAGCAGCAAUGUAGAAAAAGGCAACUUAAAGGGAAACUGUCACUUCUCUGGAUUUUGAACAUUAAAGUUUAUGUAUCCCCGUAUAUUUAACAAAUAGGUGUUUGAGGUGUGAAAAUUAAAUUGAGAAAUUCACACCCCUAUCCUGCAAGGGGAUGCCUCCAUCUUGGCUCUCUGUUAUUAGGUAUACAUUCUCUUGCAGAGAAGCGCAAAUAUGAAAUAAUGUUGGUUAUGCAUAAAAAAAAAAAAAAAAUGUU
Non-coding RNA from Pelobates cultripes (western spadefoot toad), 1819 nucleotides. The record is from the annotation of a GenBank genome assembly. NCBI's taxonomy places the organism in Eukaryota, Metazoa, Chordata, Amphibia, Anura, Pelobatidae.